UGAACUUUAUUUAAAUCCAGUAUUUCUAACAGGUCUUAUGUUAACGCAUAAUUUUAUGCAAGGUUAAGUCCUUUUUCUUGUGUGUAACUAACAAGUAAGUGGAACUUUCUAGUUCGUGCCUAUAGGCAGAGUAACACUUUUUGAAAUAAGGCUAAAAGUUGGGGAAAUGGUAAAUUUUAACGAAUUUUUGAAGAAAACUACGACGUUCGACGUUCGAUAAUUAGGAAUGAAGAAAGGAACCAGAUCCAGACAGGGCAAUUAAGAAAUUGUUAAGAAUGAAGUUGUCAAGUACUCAUGUUAGAUUAAUAGGAGAGAAACUUUAAUUAAGUAACAUGAAGAUAUUAUCGGCAUUUAAUGGGUUAAUUAAUGGGAAAAUAUGCCAAAAGUUGCUUAUAUCGCAUAUAUAUUAAGUAAAAUAGCCAUAAAUUAUAAAAGAACGAAAACUCGAUAAAGUCAAGUUUGAUGCUUUUAACAAGACUUAAAUUAUGGCCAAUAUUUUCAUAUUUAUCAAACGUAUUAAAUUAUUCAAUUUAAAAUAAAUAAUUUGAUUUUUAAAUUAAACGUUUUACUUAUGUUAUUUG
Molecule: long non-coding RNA, 581 nt
Organism: Centruroides sculpturatus (bark scorpion)
Lineage: Eukaryota; Metazoa; Arthropoda; Arachnida; Scorpiones; Buthidae
Exons: 3
Source: RefSeq, a predicted model, not a curated record